UAGCUGGUCUGAGAGGAUGACCAGCCACACUGGGACUGAGACACGGCCCCAGACUCCUACGGGAGGCAGCAGUGGGGAAUAUUGGACAAUGGGCGAAAGCCUGAUCCAGCCAUGCCGCGUGAGUGAUGAAGGUCUUCGGAUCGUAAAGCUCUGUGGGAAGGGACGAAAAAGCCUAACCUAAUACGUUAGGUCUUGACGGUACCUUCUUAGCAAGCACCGGCUAACUCCGUGCCAGCAGCCGCGGUAAUACGGAGGGUGCAAACGUUGCUCGGAAUUAUUGGGCGUAAAGCGCACGUAGGCGGUCCGCUAAGUCGGAUGUGAAAGCCCUCGGCUUAACCGAGGAAGUGCAUCCGAAACUGACGGGCUAGAGUACGGAAGAGGGUUUCGGAAUUCCCGGUGUAGAGGUGAAAUUCGUAGAUAUCGGGAGGAACACCAGUGGCGAAGGCGGAAACCUGGGCCGAUACUGACGCUGAGGUGCGAAAGCGUGGGGAGCGAAACAGGAUUAGAUACCCUGGUAGUCCACGCCGU
Molecule: ribosomal RNA, 528 nt
Filed under: uncultured bacterium
Lineage: Bacteria
Description: bacterial SSU rRNA
Rfam family: Bacterial small subunit ribosomal RNA
Source: RNAcentral